Molecule: long non-coding RNA, 246 nt
Organism: Xyrauchen texanus (razorback sucker)
Lineage: Eukaryota; Metazoa; Chordata; Actinopteri; Cypriniformes; Catostomidae
Exons: 3
Source: RefSeq, a predicted model, not a curated record
GGAAAGCCUGUGAUGAAGGCCUGCAUAGAAAAUGAAGCUCACUGCAUUGACAUUUGUGGAGAUCCUCAGGAACGUUCACUGCUGUGGAGAGCUUUAUAACUGUACGCACGGGACCCAAGGGGAGCUCUUUUCUUCAGUAAGAAGAUAGAGCAGUAUGCCAUUCCCUUCAUUGGCUCAGAUCCCUCUGUGGUGCGAUGGGCUCAGCGCUACCUGCAUGAGGACAUAAACACUCCCCUGUGAGCUAAU